UACGGAGAGUGCAAACGUUGUUCGGAUUCACUGGGCGUAAAGGGCACGUAGGCGGCUCGGCAAAUCAGUCGUGGAAUCCCGCCGCUUACCGGCGGAACGGCGGCUGAAAAUACCGGGCUCGAGGGCGUGAGGGGUCGCUGGAACUCUGGGUGAAGCGGUGAAAUGCGUAGAUAUCCAGAGGAACGCCGGAGGCGAAAGCGAGCGACUGGCGCGUUCCUGACGCUGAGGUGCGAAAGCUGGGGGAGCAAACAGG
This 253-nucleotide ribosomal RNA is filed under the name uncultured bacterium. Its description in RNAcentral is "partial 16S ribosomal RNA". It matches the Rfam family "Bacterial small subunit ribosomal RNA", at positions 524 to 776 of the family's 1533-position model. The record is from RNAcentral.